Molecule: ribosomal RNA, 253 nt
Filed under: uncultured bacterium
Lineage: Bacteria
Description: partial 16S ribosomal RNA
Rfam family: Archaeal small subunit ribosomal RNA
Source: RNAcentral
CACCCGCAGCACAAGUGGUGGUCAUUAUUAUUGGGCCUAAAGCGUCCGUAGCUUGCGUGUUAGAUGCCUGGGUAAAUCGAUGGGCUUAACCCAUCGAAUUCCGGGUAGACCGGCACGCUCGAGACCGGGAGAGGUGUAGGGUACUCGGGGGGUAGGGGUAAAAUCCUGUAAUCCUCCGGGGACGACCAGUGGCGAAGGCGCUACACUAGAACGGCUCUGACAGUGAGGGACGAAGCCCUGGGGCGCAAACCGG